UCAAGGCUUCAAUACCAUAGGCUUAUUCCUGUAUGAAUAAGGUCCAGAUUGAAUGACUUGAUCUCUGUCUUCUAUACUAUUAAAUCGGAAGAUGUAAUAGCCCUCAGAAUGGAUCAAAAUCUGAGGCUUAGAGACAAAGUUCCACACAUGCAACACAAAAUUUUCCAUAGCUUUCUCAUAGGGACUCUCUCCAAUUAUGUAACCAAUUAAGGAAGUAUUCCAAUAAUCAACCUGAGAUUUCAAAUCAUCUUCGCUUAUUUUGAAAAUCUUCUUACCAUCUUUGUCAAUAGGAGGCACAAACGAAGUGGUUUACCCAUUUGAGCACUGCGAUUACCUCGCACAACCUCAGCAACAGUCAGAAUAGAUUUCUCAGACCACUAGCAUCUGAGAAUUGUAAGUGUCUCACAACUAGACUAGUAUUCGCUUCAAUUUUACUCAUCUGAGGAGGUAUUACAUUCUCAGCACAACCAUCUUCAUGAAUCGCCUCACUCGAUUGGAACUUUUCAGGGAGGAAAUUACCAAAUGUCAGCGGUUCUAACUCCUUUGUAACACCAUGAGCUGGGGUAACAAUCUGAGCAGUAUUUGAUUGGAACUUUUGGCGGAGGAAAUUACCAAAUGUCAGCGGUUCUCACUCCUUUGUAACACCAUGAGCUGGGGUAACAAUCUGAGCAGUAGUGACAGCCACAUUCCUCCGGCGGCGAGCCAUUUUCCGGGCACAAUUGCAACCUUGCUAUCAUGCGCCGAGAGGUUAAGUGGAGACUCUUCUCUUUUCAUACUGAUAAAUGAGGAUUUUAAUGUGUUUUAUGCCCUUACUUGCCUAUGCUUUGUGUAUAAAUUUCCAUAAAAUAGUCCUGAAAUGCUCACAGGUUGUGCUUAGUUGAAGGUUUAAUCAACAAAGUAACGAAAUGUCAAAGAUCGGUUCAAAAAGGAGUGAAACCUGCUCAAGUAUCAAAGAAAAGAAACCUAAGGGAAGAUGGCCUAGUGCGGACCGUGCAAAAGUGUUUGCGGUCGCACUAGGAGGUUCGGGGACAUGGCCAGUUCAAGAUUAAGGCUAUGCGAUCGCAGUACAUUUCACACGGUCCGCGGCAAAGUUCCGCGGCCGCACCACUCUUUUGUGUGGUCCACAUACAUGAGAUUUAGAGAGGUGGAAAAAUGGUCAAGAAAAUGCCAUGCGGUCCGUGGUCAUCACUGCGUGGACCGCGAUAGACCCCCUCCGUGAUCGCGCUACACUUUCAUGCGGUCUGCUGUCCUCAAGUUCAGAGAAGGAAAAUAGUGAAGUCAGUGCGAUCGUAGUUGCUUUUUGCAGUCCG
This 1310-nucleotide long non-coding RNA is filed under the name Nicotiana benthamiana. RNAcentral's name for it is "long non-coding RNA (NBEN_LNC003456)". Lineage: Eukaryota; Viridiplantae; Streptophyta; Magnoliopsida; Solanales; Solanaceae. The record is from RNAcentral.